GGCUGGGCUGAUUACAGUGGUAUUUACAACUAAUUGAUUACAACCAGUUACAGAUUUUCUUGUUCCUUCUCCAUUCCCACUGUUUCACUUGACUAGCCUUUA
Unclassified non-coding RNA from Aotus nancymaae (Ma's night monkey), 102 nucleotides. It matches the Rfam family "Y RNA". From Rfam's summary of the family: Y RNAs are components of the Ro ribonucleoprotein particle (Ro RNP), in association with Ro60 and La proteins. The Y RNAs and Ro60 and La proteins are well conserved, but the function of the Ro RNP is not known. Lineage: Eukaryota; Metazoa; Chordata; Mammalia; Primates; Aotidae. The record is from Ensembl.